GUUGUAGUCCUACAUGUUGUAUACACACUGGAAUUGAUAGAUCACAUAAACAUUACACGAUCAUCAAGUUAUAGAGGUCCAAAGUAGGCACCUCGAACUGUUCUUCGUGAAGAACAGCUCUGACAGCUAAUUUGAUGGCCAAUAUCUCCCAGAUCUGAUGUUUUUUAGCCAUGAUGUUUGAUUGUAAUUGUAGUAUUGUAUUUCCUCUACAAGAUCUGAUCAAGAACAGACUUAGAAACACAACACACACAAAGUUAUAACCGGUCAAACUAGCUGACUUGAGAACCGGUUAUGAAGUUCUGGAUUUGAUGAAGAACACCUAUAGCGACAGUUAUGUCACUAUAGGCCCCUUUAGCG
Molecule: long non-coding RNA, 357 nt
Filed under: Panax ginseng (ginseng)
Lineage: Eukaryota; Viridiplantae; Streptophyta; Magnoliopsida; Apiales; Araliaceae
Description: long non-coding RNA (PGIN_LNC017637)
Source: RNAcentral